AGACCUUACCGUCAAUCUUUGAUCAAUGGUUGACUCGUGGUCAAUGAGUCUCAAACUAUUUUAGAAUUUCCUUGAAGAUGUGCCUCAUGUGAAUUUCGUAUUCUAUUGAUAAGAGUUUUGAGUUGUGAUCCGAUAAUUGUUAUAGGCGCCAAUCUUUCAGGACGCCUCAAUGCUCGUGCUAGGGAAUCAAGCAUAGACUCCAGGUGAGUGAGUCUUUUCCUUUUAUCAUAGGCAUAUAGUUGAUAGUUCCACAAAUGCUUCUAAAUUGAUUUAUGCAUUUUAUGCCAUGUUAUAUAUAUAUAUAUAUAGGUGUAUAUGUUCUAAAGUGCUAAUAGAUGGUUGAGUUUAGAUUAUAUCAUAGUAUAUCCAUAUGCAUGUUAUCUACAAUUAAUUAUUAUGAACUACAAAUGGCUUGAUCCCUGUUUAGGGUACGUAGGCAGUCUAACAAAACGUUAGAUGCAGCCAUACAAUAAACGAGACUAAAUACUUGAGACAAUGGCCUUGUUUGGUGAAUUUAGUAGUGUGAAGGAGAUUGGUAGAAAAUGCGAGAUAUAACCUUAGGAUUUGGUAGUUAAAUGUGGGUCAUAAAUUUAAGAUGUAAAGAAUCAAGAAAUUGAAGUAAGGAAAGGUAAGUAAUGAUACUUAAUCUAACUAGUGUCUAAUUGGGCUUAUCACCGAUGAUUACUCUCGAAAGUAAAUGGUUCGAGAGUGGGGCGUUAUAGUUAUUGCAUUUUAAGCCAUUUGUUUAUGUGUUUAUAUAUCUGGAAAUAUUAUGAUAUGGUUGAAAUUCAAAUUUACAUCCUGAUAUAUCCAUAUGUAUAUUCCUUGCACAUAAUUAUUGUGAACGCUCUGGAGCGCAAGAAUGAACGCAGAACACACAGGUAAGUUCAGGUAAGUUCAAUUAAGUAUACGGUAUUAGUUGAACUGAUGGGAUUAUGGUAUGACUACAUUUAUGUUUUAAGUAACUCCAACAAGGUCGUACAGGUUGCAAUAGUAGGCAACUCCGGCAUUGUUGUACAUGUUACUUAUGAGUCGUACAUGUGGUAUUAGAUACAUUUAAAGCUCAUAAACCUGCACCCUAGUGUUAGUGCUCCUGCCCGUGGCCACGGCACAGUCCUUCACAUAAUGUUCACCUUCUGCACCAUAAGCUCACCUUGAAUUCAAGGUAGGUGCACAUGCCUGUUGUACAGACCACUACAGUGGUUCCGACUUGUAGGUGACUCUUCACGUGAUCCUAGCACUUGAGCGUAUUCAUUUACACCCAAUCAUGUCGUAUAGACCACUACAGUGGUUCCGACUCGUGUGCAGGUGUAGUGCCGUAUACGUCACUAGAGGUGACUCCGGUUAGAUUGAGAUAUGAGUUAUAGACUUAGCCGUACAGGCCACAAGAGGGGGAUCCGGCUUACAUAUCAUUUGAAUAUGUGAUGAGCUAGCAUAUGUGAUGAACAUAUGAUCAGCUAGCAUAUGUGAUGAAUAUGUGAUAAGCUAGCAUAUGUGAGCUAGCAUAUGCGAUGAAAUAUGCGAUGAAUUAGUAUAUGUGAUGAGAUAUGGGUAAGUCGUACAUGUCACCAUAGGUGACUCCGACUUGCGUACUAGUAUGAGUUAUUAAUCACAUAAUUAUUUGAUAUUGCUGACGAGGUGCUGUAUUGUGGUAUAUUUAUGAUAUUUUUUCUGGAAAUUAUACAGGUGUUGUAGCGAGGGGUUAUAAUGUUUUAUAUGGUUUCUACUAAAAUUUUAUUUACAGGGCCACUUACCUUUGUCUUGUCUUCACCCUCCAGGUCUUAUUGGCUGAGGUUUUUUAUCGUCGAAGAUUCAUGGCGAUUCUUAGUAUUGGAGAUUAUUUCAAGGGUACGAUUCUUAAUUAACUCUUCUGUACUUGCUUAUGCUCUAACGUCACAAGUGAAAUGAGUUCAUUCCCGCUCACUGGUGCACUCUGGUAUUUAGACACUCUUAGGUUUAAAUUUAUUCAUAUUUUUCCACAUCAUCACACUUUAUGGCUCCGUCACCUUCCAGGUGUCAGCUAGCACAACUCGAUUCGGAGUCUUAGUGGACAUUUUGGGUUGGGGUGUGUCAUUUCCUCCAUAUAACCCAUUAUCCAUCCUAAGAAAUUACACACCAAAAUCAAAAUCUCUAUCAUUCUUCAUAGUUUCUGCUUCAUUCUUAUAAUGGCUCAUUCAACAAUAUACUUCACUUCAGGACGCAUAUAUUCACAAUGCACAACGAAUUGACUUGAUAGAGCAUCAAUGGAAAUUGAAACAAGCUCAAGAAACUUAAGUUCAUUUAGUAUGUUUGUUUUUAUUUGGUGUGUCUAUGUCCUUUGAAUAAAGAUUCUCUUAGUUUAAAUAAAUUACCAAAUUAAAUAAAUAUACUCUUAGUUUAAAUAAAGUACUAAAUUCAAUAAAUUGGAAACAACAUAAAGUACUUUAUUCAAUAAAUAAGAAAUUACAACCCAAAGUGAUUGAAAAAUUAUGGGCUCCGAUUAAAAACAAAUUCCUAGUCCCUCGUGAAUGGAAAAUCAUCACCUAACCAAUUUGUGGUGCUAGGACCAUCUCCUAUUGCUCUUGUUUCUCUUGCACGCCUCCU
RNAcentral lists this long non-coding RNA (2583 nucleotides) under Malus domestica (apple). RNAcentral describes it as "long non-coding RNA (MDOM_LNC003285)". The record is from RNAcentral. Lineage: Eukaryota; Viridiplantae; Streptophyta; Magnoliopsida; Rosales; Rosaceae.